AGUCGAGCGAAGCGAUUUAAUGAGACUUCGGUGGAUUUUAAAUUGACUGAGCGGCGGACGGGUGAGUAACGCGUGGAUAACCUGCCUCACACAGGGGGAUAACAGUUAGAAAUGACUGCUAAUACCGCAUAAGCGCACGGUACCGCAUGGUACAGUGUGAAAAACUCCGGUGGUGUGAGAUGGAUCCGCGUCUGAUUAGGUAGUUGGUGAGGUAACGGCCCACCAAGCCGACGAUCAGUAGCCGACCUGAGAGGGUGACCGGCCACAUUGGGACUGAGACACGGCCCAAACUCCUACGGGAGGCAGCAGUGGGGAAUAUUGCACAAUGGGCGAAAGCCUGAUGCAGCAACGCCGCGUGAGUGAAGAAGUAUCUCGGUAUGUAAAGUUCUAUCAGCAGGGAAGAAAAUGACGGUACCUGACUAAGAAGCCCCGGCUAACUACGUGCCAGCAGCCGCGGUAAUACGUAGGGGGCAAGCGUUAUCCGGAUUUACUGGGUGUAAAGGGAGCGCAGACGGCACUGCAAGUCUGAAGUGAAAGCCCGGGGCUCAACCCCGGGACUGCUUUGGAAACUGUAGAGCUAGAGUGCUGGAGAGGCAAGCGGAAUUCCUAGUGUAGCGGUGAAAUGCGUAGAUAUUAGGAAGAACACCAGUGGCGAAGGCGGCUUGCUGGACAGUAACUGACGUUCAGGCUCGAAAGCGUGGGGAGCAAACAGGAUUAGAUACCCUGGUAGUCCAC
Molecule: ribosomal RNA, 735 nt
Filed under: uncultured bacterium
Lineage: Bacteria
Description: bacterial SSU rRNA
Rfam family: Bacterial small subunit ribosomal RNA
Source: RNAcentral